UAGAAAUUAACUCAAGGUCAAGUUUCUUUUUUCAAGUGUUAGUGAAUGGCACGAUGCAAAGUAUUGUGAGGAGCUUAAAGUCCCACUUUGUUAAGGAUUUCUAUUAUAAUUUGAAUUCUUUAAUUCCUAUUUGAUUUGUUAUUCCUAGUUUAUCUAAGACUUUAAAAUAUUAUUUCUAAUUAGUUUAGGUCCUUUAAAUUAUUUUUCUACUUAGAUUAGGAUUUAAAGCUCUAUAAACACCUAUUAUAUUUUUAUUAUAUAUAAGUUUUUCAAAUUUAUUUUAAGUUGGUUUGCUUUAUUCUCUUAGAUUCUGAAUUGAAUCUUGUG
This 327-nucleotide unclassified non-coding RNA is filed under the name Hevea brasiliensis (rubber tree). Lineage: Eukaryota; Viridiplantae; Streptophyta; Magnoliopsida; Malpighiales; Euphorbiaceae. The record is from RNAcentral.